Molecule: ribosomal RNA, 418 nt
Filed under: Lusepiola birostrata
Lineage: Eukaryota; Metazoa; Mollusca; Cephalopoda; Sepiida; Sepiolidae
Description: Sepiola birostrata partial 12S ribosomal RNA
Source: RNAcentral
UCUUUAUUUUAAAAAUUUUAUUACUUAAGUAGUGUGAACGUUUUAUUUUUGAAAUAUAUAUAUGUGUUAAUAUUGAAUGUUUUAAACUUAAAAGGCUUGGCGGUGUUAUACAUCCUUCCAGAGGAGUUUGCUUAUUAAUUUGAUAAUCCUCAAUUUAUACUUACUUUUUUUUGAAAUAAAUAAGUAUAUUUAUUUAAUCAGUUUGUAUAUUGCUGUCAUUAGUUUAUUUUGUAAAAAUUUUAUAAGAAACUUAAUAAUUUUAUAAUUAUUAUGUCAAGUCAAAAUGCAGCUAAUAAAAAAGGUUUAUAAAGUGAACUACAGUUUAUAAUUUUUUAGGUCGGAUUAGAUUAUGUAAUUAAUUUAUGAAGUUGGAUUUGGUAGUAAUAAUAUAAUAGGUGAGUUUUUAUGAAUUAGGUUU